Long non-coding RNA from Sander lucioperca (pikeperch), 136 nucleotides. RefSeq lists it as uncharacterized. The transcript is spliced from 3 exons. Lineage: Eukaryota; Metazoa; Chordata; Actinopteri; Perciformes; Percidae. The record is from RefSeq and is a predicted model, not a curated record.
AACAUGGAUUUAACGAUGACCACCACUUAGUUUUGUGUGAAACCGCUCAGUGAACUACAUCUCUCGUCUCGCACAAUAUACGUCACCUUGCUUGCUAGCUAGCUAGCUUAGCUCUGUUCCACAACACGUAAUGUUA